Molecule: ribosomal RNA, 467 nt
Filed under: uncultured bacterium
Lineage: Bacteria
Description: partial 16S ribosomal RNA
Rfam family: Bacterial small subunit ribosomal RNA
Source: RNAcentral
GACGAACGCUGGCGGCGUGCUUAACACAUGCAAGUCGAACGGAAAGGCCUCUUUCGGGGGGUACUCGAGUGGCGAACGGGUGAGUAACACGUGAGUAACCUGCCCUUGUCUUUGGGAUAACUUAAGGAAACUGGGGCUAAUACAGGAUAGGAGCUCCUGCUGCAUGGUGGGGGUUGGAAAGUUUCGGCGGUUGGGGAUGGACUCGCGGCUUAUCAGCUUGUUGGUGGGGUAGUGGCUUACCAAGGCUUUGACGGGUAGCCGGCCUGAGAGGGUGACCGGCCACACUGGGACUUAGAGACGGCCCAGACUCCGACGGGAGGCAGCAGUGGGGAAUAUUGCACAAUGGGUGGAAGCCUGAUGCAGCAACGCCGUGUGCGGUAUGACGGCCUUCGGGUUGAAAAACGAUUUCGCUCAUGACGAAGCUUUGUGUGACGGUAGUGGGUAAAGAAGCACCGGCUAACUACGUG